RNAcentral lists this ribosomal RNA (503 nucleotides) under uncultured bacterium. RNAcentral describes it as "bacterial SSU rRNA". It matches the Rfam family "Bacterial small subunit ribosomal RNA", at positions 8 to 507 of the family's 1533-position model. The record is from RNAcentral.
AGAGUUUGAUCAUGGCUCAGAUUAAACGCUGGCGGCAGUGCCUUACACAUGCAAGUCGAACGGCAGCACGGGGGCAACCCUGGUGGCGAGUGGCGAACGGGUGAGUAAAGCAUCGGAACGUGCCUGGAGUGGGGAUAACGUAGCGAAAGUUACGCUAAUACCGCAUAUUCUGUGAGCAGGAAAGCAGGGGAUCGCAAGACCUUGCGCUCUGGGAGCGGCCGAUGUCGGAUUAGCUAGUUGGUGGGGUAAAGGCCUACCAAGGCGACGAUCCGUAGCGGGUCUGAGAGGAUGAUCCGCCACACUGGGACUGAGACACGGCCCAGACUCCUACGGGAGGCAGCAGUGGGGAAUUUUGGACAAUGGGCGAAAGCCUGAUCCAGCCAUGCCGCGUGAGUGAAGAAGGCCUUCGGGUUGUAAAGCUCUUUCGGUGGGGAAGAAAUUGCAUAGGCUAAUACCCUAUGUAGAUGACGGUACCUGGAGAAGAAGCACCGGCUAACUCUGUG